AAAAAUUUAGUUAAUAAAUAACAUUAACUUGUCAAGUUAAAAUAGUCUUCAAGAUAAUUUUUG
Molecule: transfer RNA, 63 nt
Filed under: Megasoma mars
Lineage: Eukaryota; Metazoa; Arthropoda; Insecta; Coleoptera; Scarabaeidae
Also listed under: 1 other name
Description: tRNA-Asp
Source: RNAcentral